UCCGCGGACGAUCCACACAUUCCUGGCGAAGGUUUGGUGCUCUUAACCGGGUGUCUUGCCAAGUAGCCAGGGCUUUUACCUUGAGCAAAUUAGAGUGUUCAAAGCAGGCAACAUGUUCGCCUGAAUAGAUUAGCAUGGAAUAAUAGAAUAGGACCUUGGUUCUAUUUUGUUGGUUUUUAGGAACCACGGUAAUGAUUAAUAGGGACAGUUGGGGGCAUUUGUAUUUAAUUGUCAGAGGUGAAAUUCUUGGAUCUAUUAAAGACAAACUAAUGCGAAAGCAUUUGCCAAGGAUGUUUUCAUUAAUCAAGAACGAAAGUUAGGGGAUCGAAGACGAUUAGAUACCGUCGUAGUCUUAACCAUAAACUAUGCCGACUAGGGAUCGGGCGGUGUUACCUUUUUGAUGACCCGCUCGGCACCUUUCGAGAAAUCAAAGUGUUUAGGCUCCCGGGGGGAGUAUGGUCGCAAGGCUGAAACUUAAAGGAAUUGACGGAAGGGCACCACCAGGAGUGGAGCCUGCGGCUUAAUUUGACUCAACACGGGGAAACUCACCAGGUCCAGACAUAGGUGGGAUUGACAGACUGAUAGCUUUUUCAUGAUUCUAUGGAUGGUGGUGCAUGGCCGUUCUUAGUUGGUGGACUGAUUUGUCUGGUUAAUUCCGAUAACGAACGAGACCUUAACCUGCUAAAUAGUGACCAGGACUUCUAGGACGGAUGAGGUUGUGUACCGGCGCGG
RNAcentral lists this ribosomal RNA (732 nucleotides) under uncultured eukaryote. Its description in RNAcentral is "bacterial SSU rRNA". It matches the Rfam family "Eukaryotic small subunit ribosomal RNA", at positions 677 to 1401 of the family's 1831-position model. The record is from RNAcentral.